AAGUAACACUCUGUGGCAGACACCGUUGUCUGACUCAAUUUUGAGCUUGCUAUAAUAAAAAAAAAAAAGCCUAACCUAUUCCAGUGGUCUCUUUUAAAUGAGACCAUCUGUUAUAUAGACUGUGACAGU
Ornithorhynchus anatinus (platypus) is the source of this 129-nucleotide non-coding RNA. The record is from Rfam. NCBI's taxonomy places the organism in Eukaryota, Metazoa, Chordata, Mammalia, Monotremata, Ornithorhynchidae.